GACGUAGGGCGCGAGCGUUGUCCGGAUUUAUUGGGCGUAAAGAGCUCGUAGGCGGCUCGUUGCGUCGGCUGUGAAAACCCGCAGCUCAACUGUGGGCUUGCAGCGAUACGGGCGGGCUAGAAUCGGUAGGGGAGACUGGAAUUCCUGGUGUAGCGGUGAAAUGCGCAGAUAUCAGGAGGAACACCGGUGGCGAAGGCGGGUCUCUGGGCCGAUAUUGACGCUGAGGAGCGAAAGCGUGGGGAGCGAACAGG
RNAcentral lists this ribosomal RNA (251 nucleotides) under uncultured bacterium. Its description in RNAcentral is "partial 16S ribosomal RNA". It matches the Rfam family "Bacterial small subunit ribosomal RNA", at positions 524 to 776 of the family's 1533-position model. The record is from RNAcentral.